This 386-nucleotide ribosomal RNA is filed under the name uncultured bacterium. Its description in RNAcentral is "bacterial SSU rRNA". It matches the Rfam family "Bacterial small subunit ribosomal RNA", at positions 29 to 416 of the family's 1533-position model. The record is from RNAcentral.
AUUGAACGCUGGCGGCAUGCUUUACACAUGCAAGUCGAACGGUAACAGGCCUUCGGGUGCUGACGAGUGGCGAACGGGUGAGUAAUGCAUCGGAACGUGCCCAAUCGUGGGGGAUAACGUAGCGAAAGUUACGCUAAUACCGCAUAAGCCCUGAGGGGGAAAGUGGGGGACCGCAAGGCCUCACGCGAAUGGAGCGGCCGAUGUCAGAUUAGCUAGUUGGUGGGGUAAAGGCUCACCAAGGCGACGAUCUGUAGCGGGUCUGAGAGGAUGAUCCGCCACACUGGGACUGAGACACGGCCCAGACUCCUACGGGAGGCAGCAGGUGGGGUAAUUUUGGACAAUGGGCGCAAGCCUGAUCCAGCCAUGCCGCGUGCGGGACGAAGGCC